Molecule: ribosomal RNA, 995 nt
Filed under: uncultured bacterium
Lineage: Bacteria
Description: bacterial SSU rRNA
Rfam family: Bacterial small subunit ribosomal RNA
Source: RNAcentral
UGGGGAAUAUUGCACAAUGGGGGAAACCCUGAUGCAGCGACGCCGCGUGGAGGAAGAAGGUCUUCGGAUUGUAAACUCCUGUUGUUGAGGAAGAUAAUGACGGUACUCAACAAGGAAGUGACGGCUAACUACGUGCCAGCAGCCGCGGUAAAACGUAGGUCACAAGCGUUGUCCGGAAUUACUGGGUGUAAAGGGAGCGCAGGCGGGAAGACAAGUUGGAAGUGAAAUCCAUGGGCUCAACCCAUGAACUGCUUUCAAAACUGUUUUUCUUGAGUAGUGCAGAGGUAGGCGGAAUUCCCGGUGUAGCGGUGGAAUGCGUAGAUAUCGGGAGGAACACCAGUGGCGAAGGCGGCCUACUGGGCACCAACUGACGCUGAGGCUCGAAAGUGUGGGUAGCAAACAGGAUUAGAUACCCUGGUAGUCCACACCGUAAACGAUGAUUACUAGGUGUUGGAGGAUUGACCCCUUCAGUGCCGCAGUUAACACAAUAAGUAAUCCACCUGGGGAGUACGACCGCAAGGUUGAAACUCAAAGGAAUUGACGGGGGCCCGCACAAGCAGUGGAGUAUGUGGUUUAAUUCGACGCAACGCGAAGAACCUUACCAAGUCUUGACAUCCUGCGACGGAUAUAGAAAUAUGUCUUUCCUUCGGGACGCAGAGACAGGUGGUGCAUGGUUGUCGUCAGCUCGUGUCGUGAGAUGUUGGGUUAAGUCCCGCAACGAGCGCAACCCUUAUGGUCAGUUACUACGCAAGAGGACUCUGGCCAGACUGCCGUUGACAAAACGGAGGAAGGUGGGGAUGACGUCAAAUCAUCAUGCCCUUUAUGACUUGGGCUACACACGUACUACAAUGGCGUUAAACAAAGAGAAGCAAGACCGCGAGGUGGAGCAAAACUCAGAAACAACGUCCCAGUUCGGACUGCAGGCUGCAACUCGCCUGCACGAAGUCGGAAUUGCUAGUAAUCGUGGAUCAGCAUGCCACGGUGAAUACGUUCCC